AACAAAUUAACUUUUCAGUUUUUAGAUAUAAUGUUUAACUAUUCGUCUUAUUAAAAAAAUUUAUGAUUAAUAAUUUUAUUUUUAUUAGAUGAUAAAACAUGAAUAAUACUUUAUAUGUGACUAAUUUUUUAAAAAAUUUCUUAAAAUUUUUUUAAAUAAAACGGACGGUCAAAUGCUCAACACAAAAACC
RNAcentral lists this microRNA precursor (190 nucleotides) under Oryza brachyantha (malo sina). RNAcentral's name for it is "MIR812 microRNA precursor family". It matches the Rfam family "MIR812 microRNA precursor family". Lineage: Eukaryota; Viridiplantae; Streptophyta; Magnoliopsida; Poales; Poaceae. The record is from Rfam by way of RNAcentral.